RNAcentral lists this microRNA precursor (57 nucleotides) under Limulus polyphemus (Atlantic horseshoe crab). RNAcentral's name for it is "Lpo-Mir-34-P17_pre stem-loop". Lineage: Eukaryota; Metazoa; Arthropoda; Merostomata; Xiphosura; Limulidae. The record is from RNAcentral.
UGGCAGUGUGGUUAGCUGGUUGUAAAGAACCACACAACCACUUUCCGCACUUCCUCA